UAUAAAUUGAGAAAAAUUAUUGUAGGUAGUAAAAAGAAUAAUAACAUCUAACAAAAGCAAAAUGAAAAUUAUAUAACAAGUUAUAUUACUUUAAGAGAAGAUAAUUGAAAAGUUGCUUAAAUGCUGUUUUCGACAAAUAAGUUUUGUACUGUGGCGCUCCUCAAAAUUGGCGACAAAAAAGAAGAAAUUCGUACCCUCACUACUGAUAUCCAUAUUAUGCUAGAAUGGGAUAUGUUUGUCGCGUGAAGUAGCGAUAAUUUGCUUGUUUGUUUACGUAAAUAGGUAAUGCCUAGAUUUCAGAAGAACAUAUUUAAUUUUUUAUUUUCAUGAUGAAAGGUCAAAUUAAAAUUCCAAUUUAAUCAUCGAAUGACUAUCGGUCGUUAAUAUUUUUUAUUCAUUUAUCAAUUAAAAACAACAUUGAUUAUAUUUAUUAAAGCUUCAAAUCGCGGGAACAGAAUGUUUACAAAAUUAUCUUUAUUACAAUACAUUUAUAAAUUUAGUCACAUUUUUAACAUAUAAUAAAAUAAGAAAAUAGGAAAUGUCUAAUAAAUAAUACAGGUCAUUUUAUUUAUAUAUUUCUUUUUUUGUUUUGUUUUCAAUAUAUAUUCGAUCGAUCAGCUAAGAAAAAGCGAUAGUUUGCAGUAUAAGAGGUACAAAGGGAUUAUGAAUCAGUGAAAAUUAUUAAUGACGGUAUAGUAAUGUUUGCCUCUUUAUCAUCUUUGCAUUAUUGUAUGACGAUUAAAUAUAAAUAAAUUGAAAUCAAUCGCGAUAGCACAAGCAUGGACGAUUACAAUGGUACUGUUUACAAUGCAACGAUUUAAUCUCGGCGAAUUUUUUACACUACGCGUUAUUAAAAUGUAUCAACAAAGUGUGCUUCAAAAGAUAAUAUUGAAGCACAUAGCAUUGCGACAUUAUGAGCGAAGAUCUUUUUCAGAUCAUAGAAUGAUUGAAAAUUUUCAUAUCAUAGAAUGAUUGAAAUUUUCAGAUCAGAUCAUUAGAAAUCGAUCUAUAAUUGCUCUUACGAAUGUAAAAAGAUCUUUAGAAAGCAACGACGUUGUUAAAUUUUUGCUGCAAACUAUCCUUGCGAAAAUAGCACAAUUCACGCGCACACGCACACACACAUAUAUAUAUAUACAUACAUAAAUUUUAUAUAUAUGUAUUUAUAUAUAUAUUUAUAUAUAUAUAUAUAUUUAUACAUAUAUAUAUAAUAUAUAUAUUUAUACAUAUAUAUAACAUAUUUCUCUCUUGAAAUUUUUUUGCCAUCCUCGCUUGAGUCCAAUGGACGUUAUUUCCAAUAGAUUUCUAUCUAAGAAAUGCCGAGUAUUCGGCUACACGAAUUUACAAAUUCGUAUUCCACAUCUUAAGAAUAAAAACUUAAGAAUCGAAAUUUGUAAUCGAUCAAUAUUUGCAAAGUCUAAUGAUCCUCGUGUUCCUAGAUUCUUCAACUAUAUAAAAUAUAUUUCAUCGAUACAUCUCGCUAACUCCAAUCGAAAUCCAAUUAUUCGAACUUUCAAUCUCAAUUACACAAUCUUAUUGGAUACUUGUAUCGUUAAAUAUUUUCGGCUGUAAAAAUAAUAUUAUCAUAAAAGUUUAAGAGACCAUUCGCUAAAAAGCACACUUCGAACGUUCUGAAUAUUACUUCGAUUAUAUAUAUAUAUUACAUAUAUAUUUUAUAUUAUAUGUAUAUAUAUAUAUAUAUAUGUACUUUC
Molecule: long non-coding RNA, 1709 nt
Organism: Vespa crabro (European hornet)
Lineage: Eukaryota; Metazoa; Arthropoda; Insecta; Hymenoptera; Vespidae
Exons: 2
Source: RefSeq, a predicted model, not a curated record